GGGGUUUGAUCUCAGUGCUGAUGCAAGAGCUCUGAAGCCUUCAUCUCCAAUACUGCAGUUAUCCAGGCUGUAGAGAGAAUGUAGCGAAGGGAGAGAGCAGUGACCCCACCCGGUCUUGAACACAGGUUUCCAAACUAAAGUUUACAGUUGGGAUCCUCCAGAAGAGAAGAAAGAUGCUUCACUCCUGAGUCUCCUGCUUUAUUCUCACUCAGCUGCAGCUCU
Long non-coding RNA from Alosa sapidissima (American shad), 222 nucleotides. RefSeq lists it as uncharacterized. The transcript is spliced from 3 exons. The record is from RefSeq and is a predicted model, not a curated record. Lineage: Eukaryota; Metazoa; Chordata; Actinopteri; Clupeiformes; Clupeidae.